AUUCNCUUNGAGGNUCUCUGGUGAUUCAUGAUAACUUCUCGAAUCGCAUGGCCUUGCGCCGGCGAUGGUUCAUUCAAAUUUCUUCCCUAUCAACUUUCGAUGUUUGGGUAUUGGCCAAACAUGGUUGCAACGGGUAACGGAGGGUUAGGGCUCGACCCCGGAGAAGGAGCCUGAGAAACGGCUACUACAUCCAAGGAAGGCAGCAGGCGCGCAAAUUACCCAAUCCCGACUCGGGGAGGUAGUGACAAUAAAUACUGAUACAGGGUUCUUUUGGAUCUUGUAAUUGGAAUGAGUACAAUUUAAAUCCCUUAACGAGGAACAAUUGGAGGGCAAGUCUGGUGCCAGCAGCCGCGGUAAUUCCAGCUCCAAUAGCGUAUAUUAAAGUUGUUGUGGUUAAAAAGCUCGUAGUUGAACCUUGGGCCUGGCUGGCCGGUCCGCCUCACCGCGUGUACUGGUCCGGCCGGGCCUUUCCCUCUGUGGAACCCUAUGCCCUUCACUGGGUGUAGCGGGGAAACAGGACUUUUACUUUGAAAAAAUUAGAGUGCUCCAGGCAGGCCUUUGCUCGAAUACAUUAGCAUGGAAUAAUAAAAUAGGACGUGUGGUUCUAUUUUGUUGGUUUCUAGGACCGCCGUAAUGAUUAAUAGGGACAGUCGGGGGCAUCAGUAUUCAAUUGUCAGANGUGAAAUUCUUGGAUUUAUUGAAGACUAACUACUGCGAAAGCAUUUGCCAAGGAUGUUUUCAUUAAUCANGAACGAAAGNUANG
This 763-nucleotide ribosomal RNA is filed under the name cf. Nectria sp. 246/HP3. RNAcentral's name for it is "SSU rRNA". It matches the Rfam family "Eukaryotic small subunit ribosomal RNA", at positions 226 to 994 of the family's 1831-position model. The record is from RNAcentral. Lineage: Eukaryota; Fungi; Ascomycota; Sordariomycetes; Hypocreales; Nectriaceae.